UAGGGAAUUUUCGUCAAUGGGCGCAAGCCUGAACGAGCGAUGCCGCGUGAGUGAAGAAGGCCUGGUCGUAAAGCUCUGUUGCGGGGGAAAAAAGGCAGCAUCAGGAAAUGGGUGCUGACUGAUGGUGCCCCGCCAGAAAGUCACGGCUAACUACGUGCC
RNAcentral lists this ribosomal RNA (159 nucleotides) under uncultured bacterium. Its description in RNAcentral is "partial 16S ribosomal RNA". It matches the Rfam family "Bacterial small subunit ribosomal RNA", at positions 355 to 509 of the family's 1533-position model. The record is from RNAcentral.